UGCUUUUUGUGUUAGCCAUUGAAACUAAGCACCAUCAUUUAUGAGCGAAGAAUCCUAUAGUUCUUUUUACCCUAAAAUAUAAAAAGUUUUGAAAGAAAUUAUUUUUUAAACAAUUUAAAGUAACUAUCUUUUGAUAGUACAUUUGGUGAUUAUGAUAUUGCAAUGUAGCAGAUCCAACAUUAUUCUCAAAUCAAGAUGUUAAAUUAUGUUUUGUUUUGUCUUCCAUUAAAUGCAGGUGAAUGUGUUCAGAUGUAAAAUAUGUUUUGCUGAAUGUGGACAGUUUAUACACAUAACACAUAUUCUCUCUGAAAUGACUCUGUAUAUAAGGCAGGUGUGGUUGUGCAUGCCUGUAAUUCCAGCAGUUGGGAGAUAGAGGUCAGGAUCAUUCAAGGCCUGCCUGACACACAUGAAAAUCUGUAUCACAAAAGCAAAAUGACAAAGUCACUCUACAUAACAAAACAUGAUACUUUGAAAAAGUGUCUUUAUUUAUUGUUUCCUAGCUUGGUCACAGCUGAUUUGGCCCACACUGGAGUAGACCAGCAGCAGUUUAAAUAAACACACGUGCCAUGCUUUGGGUUCAUAGUUUAACAGUUUGUGUGGUUGUAUGUUUUGGUUUUGUUUUUUGGCUUUUGAUUUUCUGAAUUUCCCAGGUUCUGGUGUUAAAAAAUAUUUUCAUAUUAUUCAGUUUUAUCAUUUCUUUUGUUACUAAAUGUUUGACUCAAUUCUUGAUCUCAGAAUAAAUAUUUCAAAAGGGAUUCAACAAUGCUGGACUUUUAAAUGUACUUUUAGUUGUAUUUAACUUGUUUAGUAAAUAACUUUUUUAAGUCUG
Molecule: long non-coding RNA, 829 nt
Filed under: Rattus norvegicus (Norway rat)
Lineage: Eukaryota; Metazoa; Chordata; Mammalia; Rodentia; Muridae
Description: long non-coding RNA NONRATT026930
Source: RNAcentral